UACGUAGGGUACAAGCGUUGUCCGGAAUUAUUGGGCGUAAAGAGCUCGUAGGCGGUUUGUCGCGUCUGCUGUGAAAAUCCGGGGCUCAACCCCGGACUUGCAGUGGGUACGGGCAGACUAGAGUGUGGUAGGGGAGACUGGAAUUCCUGGUGUAGCGGUGAAAUGCGCAGAUAUCAGGAGGAACACCAAUGGCGAAGGCAGCUCGCUGGGACGGUACUGACGCUGAGACGCGAAAGCGUGGGGAGCAAACAGG
RNAcentral lists this ribosomal RNA (253 nucleotides) under uncultured bacterium. RNAcentral describes it as "partial 16S ribosomal RNA". It matches the Rfam family "Bacterial small subunit ribosomal RNA", at positions 524 to 776 of the family's 1533-position model. The record is from RNAcentral.